GAUGAACACUGGCGGCGUGCUUAACACAUGCAAGUCGAGCGAGUGAGUUCUUCGGAACGAUCUAGCGGCGGACGGGUGAGUAACACGUGGGCAACCUGCCUCACAGAGGGGAAUAGCCUCCCGAAAGGGAGAUUAAUACCGCAUAAAAUUAUCGAGUGGCAUCACAUGAUAAUCAAAGGAGUAAUCCGCUAUGAGAUGGGCCCGCGGCGCAUUAGCUAGUUGGUAAGGUAACGGCUCACCAAGGCGAAGAUGCGUAGCCGACCUGAGAGGGUGAUCGGCCACAUUGGGACUGAGACACGGCCCAGACUCCUACGGGAGGCAGCAGUGGGGAAUAUUGCACUAUGGGGGAAACCCUGAUGCAGCAACGCCGCGUGAGUGAUGAAGGUCUUCGGAUUGUAAAGCUCUGUCUUUGGGGACGAUAAUGACGGUACCCAAGGAGGAAGCCACGGCUAACUACGUGCCAGCCGCCGCCGUAA
RNAcentral lists this ribosomal RNA (476 nucleotides) under uncultured bacterium. RNAcentral describes it as "partial 16S ribosomal RNA". It matches the Rfam family "Bacterial small subunit ribosomal RNA", at positions 28 to 523 of the family's 1533-position model. The record is from RNAcentral.